Molecule: long non-coding RNA, 671 nt
Organism: Rhineura floridana
Lineage: Eukaryota; Metazoa; Chordata; Lepidosauria; Squamata; Rhineuridae
Exons: 6
Source: RefSeq, a predicted model, not a curated record
GGGAAGAAUCAACUUGUCGGAAUGCUGCUGGCAAAAUGCCUUGAGAUAAGUUCUUAGUGUUUACUUUCUUUUUCUGCUGUUUUUUUCUUCGGAGACCAAGGCUGAGUUUGACAGAACUGACUAUUUGUGUCAGAGACGCCAAGGCUUGUCAGGGCAAGGAGGAGUUCUUCUGGCUGUAUGAAUUACUUCUCCACCAGAAAGGAUUAUUACAGUUUUGAGCUCCCUUGAAGGGCCUAACUUGGAGGGCCUUUUUUGAGUGUUAAUGUUAGUCAUCAAACAUUCUUUCUAUUUUAUGGUUUGGUAAGGACUAAGUGAACAACCCUCAACUGAGUGGCUCUAUACUAUAGCAAAUCCAGUGUGGUGUUGUACGAGGAUGGACAGAAGGCAGGCCACUUCCAGUGGAUCAUCACCAGCUGGCUGAUAGGAUUCUUGCAAGCUGUUCUGUAAACCGCACCUGGAGAAGUGCUGAGGGACUUGCUUACCAGCCUCAUGCUGGUACUUAUCUCACCUCCACAAGGCCAGCACCUCAUAUUUCUAAAACUGCAGCAAGGAUCCUCUUUCUCCCACUUCGAGUGGCUCCCUGAGGAAGAGCACAGAUGCAGCAGACAUCUCUUCUGUAGCAAUUCCUAUCUAGUUAGUCAGAUAUGGGUGUUUUCUACCUAAAUUUAUUU